UCCGUGUUAACCACGGCAGUCUCCUUAGAGAGCCCAACUUAAUGCUGGCAACUAAGGACAAGGGUUGCGCUCGUUGCGGGACUUAACCCAACAUGUCACCACACGAGCUGACGACAGCCAUGCAGCACCUGUCAUCUUGCUGUAUUGCUACAGAAACCGUAUCUCUACGGCGAUCAAGAGAUGUCAAACCCAGGUAAGGUUCUUCGCGUUGCUUCGAAUUAAACCACAUGAUCCACCGCUUGUGCGGGCCCCCGUCAAUUCCUUUGAGUUUUAACCUUGCGGCCGUAGUCCCCAGGCGGUGAACUUAAUGCGUUAGCUGCGGCACUGAUCGGGUCAAUCCGACCAACACCUAGUUCACAACGUUUAGGGCGUGGACUAC
This 379-nucleotide unclassified non-coding RNA is filed under the name uncultured bacterium. RNAcentral's name for it is "contains 16S-23S intergenic spacer region". The record is from RNAcentral.